GGGCCCCAGGAGACAGGGACAGUUUUUUCUAGUUCAUACUGUAUUUUUAGCGCUUCCUACUGUAGUUUUUAUUUUUAUUUUACUGGUAAUGUCUUUCUAGUUUUCGAUUUCCAAAGCUCAUUUGUUUGACUUUUCUUUUCGGAUAGGUGCGCACACGUACACCGCAUCCACGUAUACGGGCGUGUACAUCUCUGUGAUAAGCAUGUCAGAAUAGAACUACUUCCACCGUAGUUUGCACUAAAACAACGACAAGUAUUUAGAAACGAAAAGAGUACUUAGUUAAAUCCAUGAUUUUCCUUUUUUUAACAAUGAUUUUAUCUUAUAUCUCAUGGCAUGUGGAACAAAAGGUUUUUUUUAACUCGUCGGAGUACUCUUUUUUCCCUCCAGUUUUCUAUCAAAGGAUUGAACUUGAUUAGGCAGGUUGCACCACGGCCAGUCUUACCAGCAGGUAUGGCUCAAUUCGCAACUUGACUGUUGGAAGUAUUGCAGAAAGAGUCGAGUAAUAAAUCCUUAAGCCAUGUUCGCAAGAUCAAGAAGUUUUUUUUUCGAGAAGGUCA
RNAcentral lists this long non-coding RNA (557 nucleotides) under Brachypodium distachyon (stiff brome). Its description in RNAcentral is "long non-coding RNA (BDIS_LNC005430)". Lineage: Eukaryota; Viridiplantae; Streptophyta; Magnoliopsida; Poales; Poaceae. The record is from RNAcentral.